Long non-coding RNA from Dermacentor silvarum, 292 nucleotides. RefSeq lists it as uncharacterized. The transcript has 3 exons. The record is from RefSeq and is a predicted model, not a curated record. Lineage: Eukaryota; Metazoa; Arthropoda; Arachnida; Ixodida; Ixodidae.
UUGACAGCCAUCCCUUCGUGCAAUUUCUCCUGCAAGAAUGGAACAAGGCCAUUGUGUUUUACUAGCAAAGGUUGGCAGGCCUGCAUGUGCGACUGUGAGGUUACUACAGCACCUUGUCCACCACAUGACAGGAAUGCUUGUGCUACUGGCGUAAAUUUUACAUGCACCAGCGCUGGCAGUAUGUGUAAUUGCUUAUGUGAGAGCAAUGGAGUGCCUCAUCUGUCCGGAUGACGUAAUUGCGUUAUUUAGACACCUACAUGAUCUCCUCAUGCAUUUCGUACAUAUUUCUUUU